Mariannaea sp. PMI_226 is the source of this 92-nucleotide non-coding RNA. Lineage: Eukaryota; Fungi; Ascomycota; Sordariomycetes; Hypocreales; Nectriaceae. The record is from the annotation of a GenBank genome assembly.
GGUCCUAUAGUCUAGUGGUCAGGACGUUGGAUUUUGAUUACCCUAAUCAAAAGUCUCUUCCAAAGACACCAGUUCGAACCUGGUUAGGACCU